This is a small nuclear RNA of Myodes glareolus (Bank vole), 103 nucleotides long. NCBI's taxonomy places the organism in Eukaryota, Metazoa, Chordata, Mammalia, Rodentia, Cricetidae. The record is from RefSeq and is a predicted model, not a curated record.
GUGCUCACUUGGCAGCACAUGCACUAAGAUUGGAACAGUAUAGAGAUUAGCAUGGCUCCUACACAAAAAUGACGUGCAAAUUCAUGAAGCAUUCCGUAUUGUU